RNAcentral lists this ribosomal RNA (521 nucleotides) under uncultured bacterium. Its description in RNAcentral is "bacterial SSU rRNA". It matches the Rfam family "Bacterial small subunit ribosomal RNA", at positions 988 to 1509 of the family's 1533-position model. The record is from RNAcentral.
CCAGAGAACUUAGCAGAGAUGCUUUGGUGCCUUCGGGAACUCUGAGACAGGUGCUGCAUGGCUGUCGUCAGCUCGUGUUGUGAAAUGUUGGGUUAAGUCCCGCAACGAGCGCAACCCUUAUCCUUUGUUGCCAGCGGCUCGGCCGGGAACUCAAAGGAGACUGCCGGUGAUAAACCGGAGGAAGGUGGGGAUGACGUCAAGUCAUCAUGGCCCUUACGGCCAGGGCUACACACGUGCUACAAUGGCGCAUACAAAGAGAAGCGACCUCGCGAGAGCAAGCGGACCUCAUAAAGUGCGUCGUAGUCCGGAUUGGAGUCUGCAACUCGACUCCAUGAAGUCGGAAUCGCUAGUAAUCGUAGAUCAGAAUGCUACGGUGAAUACGUUCCCGGGCCUUGUACACACCGCCCGUCACACCAUGGGAGUGGGUUGCAAAAGAAGUAGGUAGCUUAACCUUCGGGAGGGCGCUUACCACUUUGUGAUUCAUGACUGGGGUGAAGUCGUAACAAGGUAGGCGUAGAUGA